CCUACGGGUGACAGCAGUGAGGAAUAUUGGACAAUGGGGGAAACCCUGAUCCAGCCAAGCCGCGUGAGGGAUGAAGGACUUCGGUAUUGAAAACUCUAUCAGCAGGGAAGAAAAUGACGGUACCUGACUAAGAAGCCCCGGCUAACUACGUGCCAGCAGCCGCGGUAAUACGUCGGGGGCAAGCGUUAUCCGGAUUUAAUGGGUGUAAAGGGAGAGUAGACGGGCAAUCAAGUCAGAAGGGAAAAUCCAGGGCUCAACCUUGGAACUGCUGUUGAAACUGCGUGGCUUGAGUGCAGGAGAGGAAGGCGGAAUUCAUGGUGUAGCGGUGAAAUGCGUAGAUAUCAUGAAGAACACCAAUGGCGAAGGCAGCGUACCGGAGUGUAACUGACGUUGAGGCUCGAAAGCGUGGGGAGCAAACAGGAUUAGAUACCCUGGUAGUC
This 440-nucleotide ribosomal RNA is filed under the name uncultured bacterium. RNAcentral's name for it is "partial 16S ribosomal RNA". It matches the Rfam family "Bacterial small subunit ribosomal RNA", at positions 338 to 795 of the family's 1533-position model. The record is from RNAcentral.